UUUAAAAACAGGACUGGAAAGGACUCCCUAGGCCCCUAAGCCUAGCCCACACCCACCACCAUCACUACAGGCAACUAUAUCAUACAGUCCACCUCAUAAAUUUAGUGGGCUGUAUCUUAAAACUAAUCUGGCUCUUUGGCACCAGUAUUCCUAUUGGGAGGCUGUUCAAGAGCUUUACUCCUUUGACGGGCCAGCACCAAACAUUUGGAUGCUUAAUGCAUGGUGUGGUGGGGUGAAUUUCUGGAGGAUGCUUCAGAAAUAUGACUUAAGAAGGAUUUAAUGGUGCAGACACCUGGAGCUGGCCUGCUACACAGGAGUGAAUUUCAGCGUCUUGGGCUACGAGAUCCUUCAUUCUGUGCCUGGACUGUCUUAGCACCUGAAGAGGAUGACUUCACUGUCUAGUAUGUUGCAG
Long non-coding RNA from Mauremys mutica (yellowpond turtle), 412 nucleotides. RefSeq lists it as uncharacterized. NCBI's taxonomy places the organism in Eukaryota, Metazoa, Chordata, Testudines, Geoemydidae. The transcript has 3 exons. The record is from RefSeq and is a predicted model, not a curated record.